AUUAGCAUCCAUUGGCCCCGCCUCCUCUCAACACCCAGCGACCGACAGCCCGGUGCUUCUGUCUCUGGCGUGCUGCACAGACCUCAGACCAGCCCUCAGUCGAUAGUGAUCCUGCUGCUCAGUGCGCGACUGGAUCUUCCCACAUACCAGUGCCAGCUCACCAUUCCACAUGUGCCCGAUUUUCUGUGACUGUGGGGGCUGUCUGGGAAAGCAGCGGUAGCACGACCGCCUGACUCCCUGGCGUCAACUGCCACUGCUAACGCGAAGGAACAGAGAGCGCCUUAAGCUCUGGGUGACUCUGGGAACAAUGAAAUCUCCAGCCACCAGGCACCAUCCUAAAGGGUGAGCUGCCUGACACUGUGCACCUGCAUGCUCGCGGCAAUACUCAGCUCAUUAGAGUGAAAAGCUUGAAGGUUUACAGAAAGACACUCCUGAGCACUCAAUUACAUCCACCCACUGUUCUUAAAUGGGACGUUCAUGGAGCUGUAUGAGAAGAAGCAUGUUGGUGGGAAAGAAGAGGCUCAGCCGCCCCCAUGUGGUGGCCGGUGAAAUCACAUCUGCAUUCUUCUGCUGAUUUGUUUGUAAUGCAUCUCAUACCUCUCCCAGCCUCUAGGUGGAGAUAUGCAUGCAUAUGAUUUCUGCAGGUGCUGAAUGUCUAAUUUCACAAUAAUCACACCUGAUCAUCGUAGUGUGUUUUGCAGAGACUUGAGUCUUUUUUUGUUCAUUGUGACUGGACUCUGAAUGGAAUUUUAAAUUUACUGUGUAUUCAGAUGUAGCACAUUUUUACAAUAAGUUCUUCGGGUCUCGGAUCACAGGGAUAUGCAUUUCAUUCUCUUCUUCACUGCUGGGGGGGGGGCACUGACAGAGGUGAAGAAUGCAUGAACGGAGAAGCUACUAUUAUUAAAUAAAUGUUUUAAAAUACA
Molecule: long non-coding RNA, 923 nt
Organism: Paramormyrops kingsleyae
Lineage: Eukaryota; Metazoa; Chordata; Actinopteri; Osteoglossiformes; Mormyridae
Source: RefSeq, a predicted model, not a curated record